ACGAACGCUGGCGGCAUGCCUAACACAUGCAAGUCGAACGAGACCUUCGGGUCUAGUGGCGCACGGGUGCGUAACGCGUGGGAACCUGCCCUUUGGUUCGGAAUAACUCCCCGAAAGGGGUGCUAAUACCGGAUAAUGUCUUCGGACCAAAGAUUUAUCGCCUUUGGAUGGGCCCGCGUUGGAUUAGCUAGUUGGUAGGGUAAAAGCCUACCAAGGCGACGAUCCAUAGCUGGUCUGAGAGGAUGAUCAGCCACACUGGGACUGAGACACGGCCCAGACUCCUACGGGAGGCAGCAGUGGGGAAUAUUGGACAAUGGGCGAAAGCCUGAUCCAGCAAUGCCGCGUGAGUGAUGAAGGCCUUAGGGUUGUAAAGCUCUUUUACCCGGGAUGAUAAUGACAGUACCGGGAGAAUAAGCCCCGGCUAACUCCGUG
RNAcentral lists this ribosomal RNA (432 nucleotides) under uncultured bacterium. RNAcentral describes it as "partial 16S ribosomal RNA". It matches the Rfam family "Bacterial small subunit ribosomal RNA", at positions 29 to 507 of the family's 1533-position model. The record is from RNAcentral.